CCUACGGGCGGCUGCAGUGAGGAAUAUUGGUCAAUGGGCGCGAGCCUGAACCAGCCAAGCCGCGUGAGGGAAGACGGUCCUAUGGAUUGUAAACUUCUUUUGUCGGGGAGCAAAAGACGCCUCGCGUGGCUUUCCGAGAGUACUCGAAGAAAAAGCAUCGGCUAACUCCGUGCCAGCAGCCGCGGUAAUACGGAGGAUGCGAGCGUUAUCCGGAUUUAUUGGGUUUAAAGGGUGCGCAGGCGGACUAUAAAGUCAGCGGUAAAAUUGAGAGGCUCAACCUCUUCGAGCCGUUGAAACUGGUUUUCUUGAGUGAGCGAGAGGUAUGCGGAAUGCGUGGUGUAGCGGUGAAAUGCAUAGAUAUCGCGCAGAACUCCGAUUGCGAAGGCAGCAUACCGGCGCUCAACUGACGCUGAUGCACGAAAGUGUGGGUAUCGAACAGGAUUAGAUACCCGAGUAGUC
RNAcentral lists this ribosomal RNA (459 nucleotides) under uncultured bacterium. RNAcentral's name for it is "partial 16S ribosomal RNA". It matches the Rfam family "Bacterial small subunit ribosomal RNA", at positions 338 to 795 of the family's 1533-position model. The record is from RNAcentral.